ACUUUUUUUUUUUUUUUAUCCUUUUUCUCUACUUCAGGGCUAGUUGUCAUGUUUGGACUUAGAGAAUUUUGAUGACCUCAGGAAUAGAUACUGUAAAUUAUUUUACCUGGUAAAAGUUGCUCAACGUGUUGUACUUGCGUUUGUCGAUAAGCAUACUGUAAAUUUUUUUACCAUGUAAAAAUGCACAAAUUAUACUAUAAAUUUUUUUACCAUGUAAAAAAAAUUUGUUGACUUCAGGGCUAGUUUUUAGUAGAGAUGUUGCAGCCAAGGACCAUAUUUUUGUGUUACACUUUCAGCUUCUCAGCUAUAACACCUUCAA
This 319-nucleotide unclassified non-coding RNA is filed under the name Puccinia pammelii. Lineage: Eukaryota; Fungi; Basidiomycota; Pucciniomycetes; Pucciniales; Pucciniaceae. The record is from RNAcentral.